GGUUAUGAUACUUAACGAAUCGAUGGCUUGUCGCGGCGAUGGUUCAUUCAAAUUUCUGCCCUAUCAACUUUCGAUGGUAGGAUAGUGGCUACCAUGGUAUCAACGGGUAACGGGGAAUUAGGGUUCUAUUCCGGAGAGGGAGCCUGAGAAACGGCUACCACAUCCAAGGAAGGCAGCAGGCGCGCAAAUUACCCAAUCCCGACACGGGGAGGUAGUGACAAUAAAUACUGAUACAGGGCUCUUUUGGGUCUUGUAAUUGGAAUGAGUACAAUUUAAAUCUCUUAACGAGGAACAAUUGGAGGGCAAGUCUGGUGCCAGCAGCCGCGGUAAUUCCAGCUCCAAUAGCGUAUAUUAAAGUUGUUGCAGUUAAAAAGCUCGUAGUUGAAUUUUAGGCCUGGUUGGACGGUCUGCUCUAGGGUUUGUACUGUCCUGACUGGGUCUUACCUUCUGGUGAGCUGUCGUAUUGUAUACUCAGUGCGGCAGGGAACCAGGACUUUUACUUUGAAAAAAUUAGAGUGUUAAAGCAGGCAUUCGCUUGAAUACAUUAGCAUGGAAUAAUAGAAUAGGACUUGGUUACUAUUAGGAGGAAUACUAAGGACCGAAGUAAUGAUUACAUAGGGAUAGAUGGGGGGCCAUUAGAAUUUCACUUGUCAGAGGUGAAAAUUCUUGGAUUAUUAAAGGAUA
This 684-nucleotide ribosomal RNA is filed under the name uncultured fungus. RNAcentral's name for it is "bacterial SSU rRNA". It matches the Rfam family "Eukaryotic small subunit ribosomal RNA", at positions 250 to 937 of the family's 1831-position model. The record is from RNAcentral. Lineage: Eukaryota; Fungi.